RNAcentral lists this transfer RNA (72 nucleotides) under Thermoprotei archaeon. Its description in RNAcentral is "tRNA-Val". It matches the Rfam family "tRNA". From Rfam's summary of the family: Transfer RNA (tRNA) molecules are approximately 80 nucleotides in length. Their secondary structure includes four short double-helical elements and three loops (D, anti-codon, and T loops). Further hydrogen bonds mediate the characteristic L-shaped molecular structure. tRNAs have two regions of fundamental functional importance: the anti-codon, which is responsible for specific mRNA codon recognition, and the 3' end, to which the tRNAs corresponding amino acid is attached (by aminoacyl-tRNA synthetases). tRNAs cope with the degeneracy of the genetic code in two manners: having more than one tRNA (with a specific anti-codon) for a particular amino acid; and 'wobble' base-pairing, i.e. permitting non-standard base-pairing at the 3rd anti-codon position. Lineage: Archaea; Thermoproteati; Thermoproteota; Thermoprotei. RNAcentral also lists the same sequence under 1 other name. The record is from RNAcentral.
GGGCCCGUCGUCUAGCGGUAGGAUACUCCCCUGACGCGGGAGUGGUCCCGGGUUCAAAUCCCGGCGGGCCCA